This is a small nucleolar RNA of Setaria italica (foxtail millet), 139 nucleotides long. It matches the Rfam family "Small nucleolar RNA Z247". Rfam says of the family: Z247 is a member of the C/D class of snoRNA which contain the C (UGAUGA) and D (CUGA) box motifs. Most of the members of the box C/D family function in directing site-specific 2'-O-methylation of substrate RNAs. Lineage: Eukaryota; Viridiplantae; Streptophyta; Magnoliopsida; Poales; Poaceae. The record is from Rfam.
AAAGUAGAAGACGAUGAGAUGAUAUCCUUCAUUCUUUCUGGCUUGGACAGUGAGUAUAAUCCUAUUGUUACUUCUGUCAUGGGUCGUACUGAUCAGAUUCCUUUGAGCGAAUUAUAUGCUCAGGUGAUGGCAUAUGAAA